Molecule: ribosomal RNA, 464 nt
Filed under: Vreelandella stevensii
Lineage: Bacteria; Pseudomonadati; Pseudomonadota; Gammaproteobacteria; Oceanospirillales; Halomonadaceae
Description: partial 16S ribosomal RNA
Rfam family: Bacterial small subunit ribosomal RNA
Source: RNAcentral
CCUACGGGGGGCUGCAGUGGGGAAUAUUGGACAAUGGGCGAAAGCCUGAUCCAGCCAUGCCGCGUGUGUGAAGAAGGCCUUCGGGUUGUAAAGCACUUUCAGUGGGGAAGAAAGCCUUGGGGCUAAUACCCUCGAGGAAGGACAUCACCCACAGAAGAAGCACCGGCUAACUCCGUGCCAGCAGCCGCGGUAAUACGGAGGGUGCGAGCGUUAAUCGGAAUUACUGGGCGUAAAGCGCGCGUAGGCGGUCUGAUAAGCCGGUUGUGAAAGCCCCGGGCUCAACCUGGGAACGGCAUCCGGAACUGUCAGGCUAGAGUGCAGGAGAGGAAGGUAGAAUUCCCGGUGUAGCGGUGAAAUGCGUAGAGAUCGGGAGGAAUACCAGUGGCGAAGGCGGCCUUCUGGACUGACACUGACGCUGAGGUGCGAAAGCGUGGGUAGCAAACAGGAUUAGAUACCCGGUAGUC